This 298-nucleotide long non-coding RNA is filed under the name Setaria viridis. RNAcentral's name for it is "long non-coding RNA (SVIR_LNC003805)". Lineage: Eukaryota; Viridiplantae; Streptophyta; Magnoliopsida; Poales; Poaceae. The record is from RNAcentral.
UGAUUGAUUUGUUUAAUCUAGCCCUUUUAAUUUUGCAGGGUGAAUUAUCUGCUAUCCUUUUUUCUUUUAUUACCACAAACGAGGGUGAGUGGUAUUUUUCCCCUCAAAUUGGACCCUUUUGCUUGUUUGCAAAUUAAAUUUUGGAUCUGAAUGGUAACUACUAUCAGAUUUUGGAAUACAUUUGCUACAUUUUUGUUAACUGUUGUAAUUUCUCUCUGUCCGGUAGUUGUCGCGAUUUGAGACCGCGGUUGUCUCUUCAAAUUAACAGGAAAAAAUAGUUUCAGGAAGAAAAGCUCCG